ACUGAGUUUAAGACGUUUGGCUGAACAGAUUUAAUUAUCUCAAUGGUGCUUCAUAUCAGUUACUGUAAACAUUUAACACCAGAGACACUCAGCAAACUGAGAUGAAGUCACUGCCUUUCCCUCCCUGCUGCUGCACAAGCUGCUUUCUCUCCCAAGUCAGCUGGAACGUCACCGAUUGGCACACGCUAACGCGGUGAUCCACGGCAACAGGUGCCAAAGGGUUGUUGCUGGGGCAACAGUGGCACUUUGCAUCAGCUAUAAGACAUUGUUAAAGAGGCCAACAAUACUGAGUUCAGAUGAGUUCAACAGGCAGAAACCCUGAAUAAACAGAAGUGAAGAGGUCAACGUGAUGUCCUGUUAUUCUGACCUUUAGCUCACAAAAAGUCCAUUAAAUGUCUGAGUGGCCAUUAAAAAGAAUUACAUGUAAAAAUAUUUCACCAUGAGUCAUCUAAUGGGAAACAAAAGUGAAAUCUAUCACAGGUGUGAGACACAUAAUGGACCAGAGAGGCGUCAGUGACUCAGACAGUUUUUAGAAUGAGUCAUCAAUUCACAGCUGAUCAGCGAGAUGAUCCAUCAGCUGCACAGCGAACCGAAGCAGACACAAGACAAGUAGACUGAGAGAGAAACUGACAGACAGACAGAUAUGUCUGUUACAGAUAUGUAAAAUCCCCCAAAACCAAAAGAGGAGAAAGACCCCCGGACAGAAGACUGACAGGUGAACCAGAAGAGCUGCUGCUAAACUUCAGCAUUUAGUUGACACAGGAGAUAAAAA
Thunnus maccoyii (southern bluefin tuna) is the source of this 772-nucleotide long non-coding RNA. RefSeq lists it as uncharacterized. The transcript has 3 exons. NCBI's taxonomy places the organism in Eukaryota, Metazoa, Chordata, Actinopteri, Scombriformes, Scombridae. The record is from RefSeq and is a predicted model, not a curated record.